RNAcentral lists this ribosomal RNA (253 nucleotides) under uncultured bacterium. RNAcentral's name for it is "partial 16S ribosomal RNA". It matches the Rfam family "Bacterial small subunit ribosomal RNA", at positions 524 to 776 of the family's 1533-position model. The record is from RNAcentral.
UACGUAGGGUGCGAGCGUUAAUCGGAAUUACUGGGCGUAAAGCGUGCGCAGGCGGUUUUGUAAGCCAGAUGUGAAAGCCCCGGGCUUAACCUGGGAAUGGCAUUUGGGACUGCAAGGCUUGAGUGCGGCAGAGGAGACUGGAAUUCCUGGUGUAGCAGUGAAAUGCGUAGAUAUCAGGAGGAACACCAAUAGCGAAGGCAGCUCGCUGGGACGGUACUGACGCUGAGGCGCGAAAGCGUGGGGAGCGAACAGG